GCCGGCGGCGCGGCCCGGCCCGGCCCGGGAGUCGGGGAGCGGGCGCCCCCAGCACCGGCCGGCGCGGCGUUUCAGGUCUUACGGCGAAAAGACAGACGCCAUUCGGGGCAGGAUGCUACUUUGCGGGAACUUUUACCAGCCAUUAUCUUUACGUCUAAUGAAACUCGGGGUUGUAUUUGACGGGCUUCGCACGGAUCCUGGGUCAGCUCCCAUCACUGCGCUCCGUGUAAACAGCAGGCGUCCUACGUUGCUCCAAAGUAGGAUUUUGGUGUUUUGGGGUUUUUUUUUUCCCAUCCUGCAUUUUAUCGACCAUAGUCACUCUUUUAUCAUCAUCGAAGCAAAGGGAAUCACUAUUAUUGGACACCGUAACCGUCAGGGAAAAAAUUUAAAGUAAGACCCAGUUCAAAAUUUGACAGCCGGAUGAUUUUUCUGCAUUGGAAGAAGAUGCUGCCUCAACAUUGCCAUGGGUUGACACUUACUGUUAUCAUUUGUCGUCUGAAAAACUUUAUGCAAUUGAAUUAUAUGAAGACCUAUAGUGCUCCUGCCAAACCAAAAAAAAAAAAAGGGAAAGCUGUAUUGUUGGAAGAGAUUUAGGUGGAUGUGUAUAAACCACUACCAUGUGGUUUAUAUUACACACGAAAAUGAGUAUCCAGAGAGCUCUUUCCAGUAGAAUAUUUUAAAAAUCCGAAAGACUGUUGCGGUGGGUUUAAUAGGUUUGGCGGCAAGUUUUCAAAUAUUUGCCGAGAUACAAAAACGUCCUGUACCUCUGCUUUUCUCCCCCGGGGGCACAUAAAUAAAAAUAAUCACUAUUCUUAAAUACUGGGUUGGAUGGGAACUGUUAUUAGCUUAAGGCACAGAAGCAAAGUGCUAUCUUUCAGGCUGGCUUAGCUACCACCCUACGGGGUGGGGAGAAGACAAGGAGAAAAUGGGUUGCAGUUCCCCAAAAUUAUCCUCAGACUCACCUGCGAGGGGCACAUUCAUCUACAUGUCCUAUACUAAGACAAUGCAUCUGUUCAUUCAAUGAGUGAACAUUUUUUGAGAUCUCCCAGCCCUCUACACAUGCUGCUAAUUAUUCAGCACCCACAGGACUCCCGGAGGAACUUACACGGUGGGAGCAGGACCCGUGGAUGGCAACUGGCACACCUGGGAAAUGCAACUUCUAAAGAAUUUCACGAGAUGUUCCUGAAGAGAUGAGAUGCAGUACGUGUUUCUUCAGCAAAUUCAACAUACAAAAAUCCAGAUAUGGACAGCUGAUAAAUUAGCUGCAUCCAUGACCAGAUGGAUCUGGUCUCUGUGAAAACAGAUAUUCAUGUUUUAUCACUGAAGAAUGUUUCUACAAAGCUGUUAAAGUUUAUAAAAAGCAAAUGGGAGCUAGCCACGUUGAGCACUGGAUACUCAGUAGGUGUUCACCUUUCCAAGAGCUCCUCUCUAGCAAAACCAGUUAAGGUAACUUCAAUCUCCUGGUCAGUGAUAGGGUUUAGGUAUGAGCACUUCCUACAAACCCGGCAAAAGAACUGUAAGAAGCAUUGUGCUGUGGGGCUCUGCGAAAGAAUUUCUUCCCUUCUAAAAAGAGGCAUAAGAGAAACUCUCCUCCCUCUGGAAACUGUAAUAUCAGGAUAUGAUGCUUGGAGCCACAGCAGCCAUCUUGUGACUAUGAUGAAAAACAUUGCUGACAUUAUGGCAAUGUAAAAGAAUGGAACCUACCAAGGAAUUUGAUAACAUUGUUGAGCUACUGAACCAAACCCAGAACUGGCUUGCCUCCUGAUUAUUAAUUUAGUUGAAAUAAUAAAUGUCCUCAUUUUUUUAACACCAUUAUCAGUAGGAUCCUAUGUUAGUAAAAAAGCAAACUGUAUGAUGUAAUACGUUUAGUAUCUUAAUUGGCUGUAUGACAAAAUAGUUUGGUGACUUUACUCUGGAGGUCAUCUUAAACCACACAUAGAGAUUUCUUAAUGAAUAGUUCCUUCCCUUCCAAUUCAUCUGUAUAUAAUAGCAGUCCUACUUUCUUGCUCCAUAUCUGACGUACGUAACUAAUUAACCAUUAGCUAAAUGUCUAAUCAUAUUACCUUUGUAAGUUAAAAUACAAAUAGUUAUUAUAAAAAUUUCUGUUAAAUAUCAUUAAAAUUAUUUCAGAUUUCAAAAUAAAAAUAAAUUUUUUAAUUCUGAUGUAAUUCUUUAACACUAUAAUUGUAUUUCCAAGCUUCAUUUCACAAUUUUUAUUGACAUUGACAUUUAUUUCAUGACAAGCAGAGCAAAAUGUACAAAAUGAGGCUUUACCACAUUAAAAUUUUUUUUUCAUUAAAUGGGCCUCACAAGGAUACACCCAAAAUUCCUACUACCAGAGUGAUCCCUGCCUCCUUUCUUCUCAAGUGAAUAAGUUAAUGUUUUAUUUCUCACUUUGCACUAGGAAUUUGCAUUAGGUAACCAGCUAUUUAUAUAGCAUCUAUUUGGGCUCUGUCUAAAAUGUGAGGGCUAUCUUCCCCUUACUGUGUCCCAAGUAAGGGUCCUUCAAUAGAAGGACAGAGGAUACUUGUUAAAUCCUAUAUAAAUAGAUUUAAAUUUUAAAAAAAGUUUUACCCCAGAGAUCUUAUUUUGCCUUUAUUCUCAGAUGAGACCCUCCCACAUCUAAGACCUUAGAUUUAAGUAUCUUUAAAAUGUUGAACCAUAUUGGACUGUAAACUCCCUGAGAGCAAGGAUCCUUGCCUCUUUGUCUGAAUGUGGUAUCCUAGCACUUUAGCAUCAUAGCACAUAAUAGGAGGAAAUCUAGAACAGACUAACCCCCCAAAAGAAAUAAAUGUUGAAUAAAUCAAAUAUAAAGGAUACUCCUUUCAUCUUUUUCUUCAAGAAAUCAUUAUCUUUGCUUUACUUUCCACUAAGAGAAAGAUUCUCCAUUUGAGAAUCUUUUUUGGAAAGAUAAAAAACAAAGUCAUAACACAAACACCCAUUUGAUCUCUUAUUUUCUUUCCCCGUCUCUUCCUUUGCAAAACAUGUGAUAAUAUGUCCAAGAAAUAACACAGGUAAGUACGCACAAAAAGAGGGUGGAAUUAGAAAUAUAUACAGUUUCAGGUCUGUAUUGAACUUGGUUUUCAGAGAGCAAAAUUUUUCACUAUUUUUCCUUCUUCUAAAAAAGUUUAUUCCAUGGUAUGUUAGAUUGGUUCUGGUUAAUACUGAUAUUUUCAGCAUUUUAUGAUGUCAUCUUAACAUCACUGUAAAUGUUUCUUCCCUUUGUUACUUCAUCCUUCCUAUUAGGCUUGCUAACCUGAAAAUUUCCCCAAUCUUUAGCAAUACU
Molecule: long non-coding RNA, 3286 nt
Organism: Hippopotamus amphibius kiboko
Lineage: Eukaryota; Metazoa; Chordata; Mammalia; Artiodactyla; Hippopotamidae
Exons: 3
Source: RefSeq, a predicted model, not a curated record